Molecule: microRNA precursor, 103 nt
Filed under: Marmota monax (woodchuck)
Lineage: Eukaryota; Metazoa; Chordata; Mammalia; Rodentia; Sciuridae
Source: RNAcentral
AGUGGUAUAGCUGGGUCAAGUGGUGGUUCCAUUACAUGUUUUCUGAGGAAUCUCCAUACUGCUUUCCAUAGUGGUUGCACCAGUUUGCAGUCCCACUUGCAAU